Molecule: long non-coding RNA, 413 nt
Organism: Osmerus eperlanus (European smelt)
Lineage: Eukaryota; Metazoa; Chordata; Actinopteri; Osmeriformes; Osmeridae
Exons: 3
Source: RefSeq, a predicted model, not a curated record
UAGAUUGUGCGUGGUCAAAUAAAUGCAGUCAGUUUGAAAAAUACGUUAACUCUAUAAUUUGUAUAAGUCUAUUGUCUGUCAUAAAAAUCCGAGUUGUAUAUAUGGAUUUUAGAAUCCAUUUUUUUGCUCAAUAGUAAAUAUGGGCACCUAUUUUGAUGUUAGAGGUUUCAGAAGAAAACUGUUUGUCCCUUGCCGCUCGUUGUAGUUGGUCCAUGUUUGCCCUUUAAGCUAGCUACUAGCAUCUAGUCAAGUUGUUGCUUUCAGAGCCAGAGGCAUGAGAUUGAGGUGAGUUUACCGAGGCCUACAAACAGUUGGCACUCUGGGGACAAAUACAGAUCUACACCUUCAACUGUAGUUGCAUUAGCUGGGUCAACAAAGCAAUACUAGGUGCUGUGUCUUGCUCCAGAGAAGCC